RNAcentral lists this unclassified non-coding RNA (2276 nucleotides) under Hevea brasiliensis (rubber tree). The record is from RNAcentral. Lineage: Eukaryota; Viridiplantae; Streptophyta; Magnoliopsida; Malpighiales; Euphorbiaceae.
UAAUGGCAUUUGAUAAGAAUUUCAUACUUUUAUAAUAAUAUUUAAUCUCAUACAGAGAGAGGAGGCAGCCGGCUGGCCACCCCUCGUUCAUGAUACAACAACAAUUACUGUAUCCCUUACACGUCCACAUGUUAACUUUGUUUCAAAUGCAACACAAGGCAUGUUAUAGGGAGUGGCCAAGCUUCAAGCAAAAGAAAUUUUAAGGGGAAAAAAUGGAAGAAGGGUCUCUUAGGACUUUCAAUUUUCUUGUUCUGAAAUCUUAGUUAAGUAUGUGCACGCCUGUGUAUGACUUAAAGAGUUCUUUCCAGUCAAAAUAUCCAACCACUAAUUGCAGCUCUACCACAAUCUCUAUAUUACCAACAUUAUGAAUUUGAGUACAAGGAAUGGUAUAUCAGAGAUCUUGCAGAGCCUUUCUUGUUAAUGAUACACUCAGUUAUAUAGUCUUACUGCCAUUGUUGAUGAUGCACUAAAAGGUACAUUUAUGCUACUUGCAAAGCUUCGUCACGCUUGAUGUCGAACACCUUGACAAGGACAUCUUCAACAACCUUAUCAGGAGUAGAGGCACCAGAUGUUAUGCCAAUUGUAAUGGGACCUUCUGGUAGGAAGUUCUCCUUCUCAACCAACUCCCCGUGAUUCAACUUAUAAGCUAUUUUGUUUCCUGGACCAAUCCUCUGUUCACUGUCAAUCCAAUAUGAAGGAAUUCCACGAAGCUCAGCAAUUUCUUGGAGGUGUGAGGUGUUGCUUGAGUUCCAGCCACCAACUACUAAAAUAAGAUCCAACUUCUCCUCCACCAACUUAAACAUAGCAUCUUGUCGUUCCUGCGAAAUAAGCAAAGGAAGGUUGCAUUUAGCAAUAAAGCAACUUCAUUCUAGCUAAUUUCCAAAUUGGAUUUAUAUGAAUGUGUGCACAUUCCAGGUUACAGGCUACCAUAGGUCAUCCAUUUUUGUCUUCCAUCCCUUUGAGAAGGAAAAAGCUCAAGUUUCGAUGCGAGGAGAGUGAGGUAACUAACUUGUAGAAUUUUGAAUUAAAAGAAAAAGGGAAAAAAAAUCUGCCUUUUGUGUUCCGUAAAUAUAAAAAUAAAAAAAGAUUAGGUAAGGAUGUUAAAUUUUCUUUAAAAAUAAUAUUUUUCCUACAAUUCUAAUGAAAAAUACAUGCAAAACGACGAUAGCAGACGAGAAUUACUUGAGUAGCAUCACAAAUGGUGUUAAAGCUGAUAAAGUGGUCAUUAACAUUUUCCACUCCAUAUUUACGCAUCAUGGUCUUCUCCACCAAUUUCCCAAUCUCUUCUGUUUCUCCCUUAAGCAUUGUGGUUUGAUUUGCAAUACCAACCUUAUCCAGGUCAACAUCUGGAUCAAAUCCCUUAGAAACUGCAUAUUUAAAUUUCUCUAGAAAUGCCUCUUUUGUUGAGCUAGAUCCAUUAAGUUGACCACCAAGAAUGUAAUCACACACAUACAUUGCCUCUUCCAUAUUCUUCACAAUGAUAUGCUUUCCAGCAAAAGAGGCAGUAGCUAUGGUUUCCUCAUGAGAAUAUUUACCGUGAAUGAUUGAAGUGUACUCUCCCUUCUUGUGCUUCUCAACAGUAUUCCAAACCUUGGAUACCCAAGGGCAAGUUGUGUCAACAAUUUGCACAUUUUUGUUGCUCAAGGUCAACAUCUCCUCCACAGCAGCCCCAAAAGCAGGCAAAAUCACAACAUCACCACUGUCCACAACUUCAAAGUGUUUCUUUCCUUCGCCAACAGGAAUAUUUUGGACAUUCAUCUCUUCUAAACGCUUAUUAACAGUUGGGUUGUGAAUAAUCUCAUUGGUAAUCCAAAUCUUCUCGUCAGGAAACUGUUUCCGGGCUUCAUAAGCAAUCUGGACAGCCCGCUCAACUCCCCAGCAAAACCCAUAAGCUUCUGCCAGUUUAAUGGUAACAUUUCCCCAUGUGUACUGAUUGCCAUUUUCCUUCAAAGUCUUUAUGAUAUCACUGGUAUACUCUUGGUUCAUGAGCUCAAGAGUCUCUUCCUUGUGUCCAAAACCUCUCCGAUUAUAAUUCUUGCUUCGCGUCAAGUUAUGUCUAAAAACCUUAGCGUCAAAAUCGGAUUCCACAGCGACAGAACCAGCAGAUGACUCAUCGCCACCAGCAGCGCAUCGAACAGAUAGAAACCUCCUGCGAUUAAGAGGAGCAAGAUUCUCACGGGAGAAGAGUUCGCUACGGAGGGAGACGCGGCAGAGUUGCAGAGAGACAGCCAUGGCAGAGAGAGAAAAGCUAAAGUGUGGAGCUAGCAGAAGCAGUG